Molecule: transfer RNA, 67 nt
Filed under: Anastrangalia sequensi
Lineage: Eukaryota; Metazoa; Arthropoda; Insecta; Coleoptera; Cerambycidae
Description: tRNA-His
Source: RNAcentral
UCUAAAUAGUUUAAUUUAAAAUUUUGAUUUGUGGUUUCAAAGAUAUAAAAGUUUUUAUUUUAGAUAA